RNAcentral lists this ribosomal RNA (301 nucleotides) under uncultured bacterium. RNAcentral's name for it is "partial 16S ribosomal RNA". It matches the Rfam family "Bacterial small subunit ribosomal RNA", at positions 509 to 809 of the family's 1533-position model. The record is from RNAcentral.
CAGUCGCCGCGGGAAUACGAAGGGUGCGAGCGUUAAUCGGAAUUACUGGGCGUAAAGCGUGCGUAGGCGGUGAGUUAAGUCUGCUGUGAAAUCCCCGGGCUCAACCUGGGAAUGGCAGUGGAUACUGGCUCGCUAGAGUGUGUCAGAGGAUGGUGGAAUUCCCGGUGUAGCGGUGAAAUGCGUAGAGAUCGGGAGGAACAUCAGUGGCGAAGGCGGCCAUCUGGGACAACACUGACGCUGAGGCACGAAAGCGUGGGGAGCAAACAGGAUUAGAUACCCGCGUAGUCCCUGUCUCUUAUAU